Molecule: ribosomal RNA, 420 nt
Filed under: Fusobacteriota bacterium
Lineage: Bacteria; Fusobacteriati; Fusobacteriota
Description: Fusobacteria bacterium partial 16S ribosomal RNA
Rfam family: Bacterial small subunit ribosomal RNA
Source: RNAcentral
UGGGGGAUAUUGCACAAUGGGCGAAAGCCUGAUGCAGCGACGCCGCGUGGGGGAUGAAGGCCUUCGGGUUGUAAACUUCUUUUGCUCUGAACAAGGCAUGCUUUUGGGGUGUGUUGAGUGUAGGGGUUGAUUAGCGCCGGCUAACUACGUGCCAGCAGCCGCGGUAAUACGUAGGGCGCGAGCGUUGUCCGGAAUUAUUGGGCGUAAAGGGCUUGUAGGUGGCUGGUUGCGUCUGUCGUGAAAGCUCAUGGCUUAACUGUGGGUUUGCGGUGGGUACGGGCUGGCAUGAGUGCAGUAGGGGAGGCUGGAAUUCCUGGUGUAGCGGUGGAAUGCGCAGAUAUCAGGAGGAAUACCGGUGGCGAAGGCGGGUCUCUGGGCUGUUACUGACGCUGAGGAGCGAAAGCGUGGGGAGCGAACAGG